Long non-coding RNA from Sarcophilus harrisii (Tasmanian devil), 480 nucleotides. RefSeq lists it as uncharacterized. The record is from RefSeq and is a predicted model, not a curated record. Lineage: Eukaryota; Metazoa; Chordata; Mammalia; Dasyuromorphia; Dasyuridae. The transcript is spliced from 2 exons.
AGAACAGAAGAAACAGGAAGUUACAGAUUCACAGAUUCACCAGCAGCACCAGCAAGAUGAAUUAGAGUCUACUUCUUUCUUUUCUACUAUCACUAUUAUGUCGGUCUCACCUGGAGACUGGGAGCUGGCUACUGCUUUUCAAUUCCAAUGAUCAGGAGCUGCUGGGGUCAAAGAAUCAGGAGGAGGCUGCCAGCUGAGCAGUGUGCUGAUUCAAACCAUGAGAAUUUCAGAAGAAAAAAGCAUCGCUCUUGCUAUACUUUUUCCGGUGAGUGACAGACAAGGUCUCCAGAACAUGUUAAAUAUGACUACAGAGUGCAAAGCACACCACAAGCAGGGGUACAGUCUCUGCACAGGGCAGAAGAGAUUUUUUCAAAGAUACAUGUGUCUCUGGGAACAAGCUAAGGAAUAAGACCCCCACCAGUGAUCCAAACAUCUGCACAGUAAACAGAAAAUGAUGCCAACUGGUCAGUCACGAUGCCA